GGCGGUUCUUAGGUGAUGCACCCCAGAAUUGGGCUCCCUCCUCUCUGGUUACCGGUGCGUCACCCGAGAACCGCA
Myotis brandtii (Brandt's bat) is the source of this 75-nucleotide non-coding RNA. The record is from Rfam. NCBI's taxonomy places the organism in Eukaryota, Metazoa, Chordata, Mammalia, Chiroptera, Vespertilionidae.